RNAcentral lists this ribosomal RNA (440 nucleotides) under uncultured bacterium. RNAcentral's name for it is "partial 16S ribosomal RNA". It matches the Rfam family "Bacterial small subunit ribosomal RNA", at positions 338 to 795 of the family's 1533-position model. The record is from RNAcentral.
CCUACGGGAGGCAGCAGUGGGGAAUGUUGAAAACAGGGGGAAACCCUGAUGCAGCGACGCCGCGUGAGUGAAGAAGUAUUUCGGUACGUAAAGCUCUAUCAGCAGGGAAGAAAAUGACGGUACCUGACUAAGAAGCCCCGGCUAACUACGUGCCAGCAGCCGCGGUAAUACGUAGGGGGCAAGCGUUAUCCGGAUUUACUGGGUGUAAAGGGAGCGUAGACGGCAGCGCAAGUCUGGAGUGAAAUCCCAUGGCUUAACCAUGGAACUGCUUUGGAAACUGUGCAGCUAGAGUGCAGGAGAGGUAAGCGGAAUUCCUAGUGUAGCGGUGAAAUGCGUAGAUAUUAGGAGGAACACCAGUGGCGAAGGCGGCUUACUGGACUGUAACUGACGUUGAGGCUCGAAAGCGUGGGGAGCAAACAGGAUUAGAUACCCGUGUAGUC